This 468-nucleotide ribosomal RNA is filed under the name uncultured bacterium. Its description in RNAcentral is "partial 16S ribosomal RNA". It matches the Rfam family "Bacterial small subunit ribosomal RNA", at positions 28 to 507 of the family's 1533-position model. The record is from RNAcentral.
GACGAACGCUGGCGGCGUGCUUAACACAUGCAAGUCGAACGGAAAGGCCCUGCUUUUGUGGGGUGCUCGAGUGGCGAACGGGUGAGUAACACGUGAGUAACCUGCCCUUGACUUUGGGAUAACUUCAGGAAACUGGGGCUAAUACCGGAUAGGAGCUCCUGCUGCAUGGUGGGGGUUGGAAAGUUUCGGCGGUUGGGGAUGGACUCGCGGCUUAUCAGCUUGUUGGUGGGGUAGUGGCUUACCAAGGCUUUGACGGGUAGCCGGCCUGAGAGGGUGACCGGCCACAUUGGGACUAAGAUACGGCCCAGACUCCUACGGGAGGCAGCAGUGGGGAAUAUUGCACAAUGGGCGGAAGCCUGAUGCAGCAACGCCGCGUGCGGGAUGACGGCCUUCGGGUUGUAAACCGCUUUCACCUGUGACGAAGCGUGAGUGACGGUAAUGGGUAAAGAAGCACCGGCUAACUACGUG